This 468-nucleotide ribosomal RNA is filed under the name uncultured bacterium. RNAcentral describes it as "partial 16S ribosomal RNA". It matches the Rfam family "Bacterial small subunit ribosomal RNA", at positions 28 to 507 of the family's 1533-position model. The record is from RNAcentral.
GACGAACGCUGGCGGCGUGCUUAACACAUGCAAGUCGAACGGAAAGGCCCUGCUUUUGUGUGGUGCUCGAGUGGCGAACGGGUGAGUAACACGUGAGUAACCUGCCCUUGACUGUGGGAUAACUUCAGGAAACUGGGGCUAUUACCGGAUAGGAGCUCCUGCAGCAUGUUGGGGGUUGGAAAGUUUCGGCGGUUGGGGAUGGACUCGCGGUUUAUCAGCUUGUUGGUGGGGUAGGGGCUUACCAAGGCUUUGACGGGUAGCCGGCCUGAGAGGGUGACCGGCCACAUAGGGACUGAGAUACGGCCCAGACUCCUAAGGGAGGCAGCAGUGGGAAAUAUUGCACAAUGAGCGGAAGCCUGAUGCAGAAACGCCGCGUGCGGGAUGACGGCCUUCGGGUUGUAAACCGCUUUCGCCUGUGACGAAGCGUGAGUGACGGUAAUGGGUAAAGAAGCACCGGCUAACUACGUG